AGAACGAACGCUGGCGGCAUGCCUAACACAUGCAAGUCGAACGAAGGCUUCGGCCUUAGUGGCGCACGGGUGAGUAACGCGUGGGAAUCUGCCUAUCAGUGGGGAAUAACGACGGGAAACUGUCGCUAAUACCGCAUACGCCCUUAGGGGGAAAGAUUUAUCGCUGAUAGAUGAGCCCGCGUACGAUUAGCUAGUUGGUGAGGUAAUGGCUCACCAAGGCUACGAUCGUUAGCUGGUCUGAGAGGAUGAUCAGCCACACUGGGACUGAGACACGGCCCCAGACUCCUACGGGAGGCAGCAGUGGGGAAUAUUGGACAAUGGGCGAAAGCCUGAUCCAGCAAUGCCGCGUGAGUGAUGAAGGCCUUAGGGUUGUAAAGCUCUUUCGGGUGGACGAUGAUGACGGUACCACCAGAAGAAGCCCCGGCUAACUUCGCGCCAGCAGCCGC
RNAcentral lists this ribosomal RNA (446 nucleotides) under uncultured bacterium. RNAcentral describes it as "SSU rRNA". It matches the Rfam family "Bacterial small subunit ribosomal RNA", at positions 26 to 518 of the family's 1533-position model. The record is from RNAcentral.